AAUAUUGGUCAAUGGACGCAAGUCUGAACCAGCCACGUCGCGUGAAGGAAGACGGCCCUACGGGUUGUAAACUUCUUUUAUACGGGAAUAAAGUGCCCCACGUGUGGGGUUUUGCAUGUACCGUAUGAAUAAGGAUCGGCUACCUCCGUGCCAGCAGCCGCGGUAAUACGGAGGAUCCGAGCGUUAUACGGAUUUAUUGGGUUUAAAGGGUGCUCAGGCGGGGGGUUAAGUCGGCGGUGAAAUUUUGCAGCUCAACUGUAAAAGUGCCUUCGAAACUGGUUCCCUUGAGUGCGGAUGAGGUAGGCGGAAUUUGUGGUGUAGCGGUGAAAUGCAUAGAUAUCACGAGGAACUCCGAUUGCGCAGGCAGCUUACCAAGCCGUAACUGACGCUCAAGCACGAAGGCGUGGGGAUCAAACAGG
Molecule: ribosomal RNA, 419 nt
Filed under: uncultured bacterium
Lineage: Bacteria
Description: partial 16S ribosomal RNA
Rfam family: Bacterial small subunit ribosomal RNA
Source: RNAcentral